CACUUUUCACCGGGUUGCCGCCGCCGCCGCCCCCGCCCCCAUCGCUUCUCUAACGCUGCCCAUCAGAGGACAGCCGUUUCUCUGCUGCUUCUUCUCUCGCCCUGCUCCAUCCCGACCAGCGCCACUGCCGCCCCUUUUCUCUCGUCUACGGGCGAGCCGUCACCGGUGAGGUGAGACGUCGUCUCCCGGCCAGGACAUAGCGGCAGAGAGGAGCAAGGAAGCAGCAGGGGAAGUCCAAUUGGAAAAGUUAGUGGCGCUACAGAUUUCUUGCUCCCUUGGUCGACGGGGAUGCGGUUUUCGUUGGUGGUGAUAGGAGGGGAACAUGCGUGGCGGUGACGGGAGGACCAUCAGAAGAAGAGGAGGAUGGGGAACAGGGAAGGAGGCCAAGCGGGGGAGGAGAGACAUGAAGCAUUCAUUUCCUGCCGUUUCUCCAGGUGCCUCCAUCGCUAUCAAUCUCGCAUCGAGAUGUCGACGGCAAUUCCAUCAUACCCGGUGUGAAGAAAUAAUCGACAAAAUUUAUAGGGAUCCUCCUCGCACUGCCUCUCUCCCUCUUCCUCUUCCUUGCUGCACCCAUGGCAACAAGCCAGCAAAGCUCGAUUUCACGCUGGAGAAUCUCAACCCCUUGACGGAAUCGAUCGAUUUCUCGUCCGAAUGGUCAAAUCCUUAUCAGGGAGGUCAAAUCCUUGCCAGGGAGAUUGACGGAGAAUGCUGAUUUCUUACUGGUCGCCUUUUUGAGCACCUAGGGCCAGUGCGACAUUAUGCCAGCGUGCCAACGCCCAGCGUUUAAGCACACCUAGGCAAGCGCCUAACAACACUCUUUUAACUAUGGUGCGGACAAUCUAAUACCAAAGGACUUGGCCCUCAAAAUUGCAACCAAGAUUAGAGCUGGCGAACGAUUUGCAGUUUAUGUAGUCAUACCAAUGUGGCCUGAAGGAAUCCCUACCUCAGCCUCUGAGCAAGAUUUUUUUCUUUUAGGCACAUUCAGGCAUGAUGGGUUCCGGUCCACUCUUCUGGCAAGACCCUCCUGGUGAACGAGCGUGGCGUCCUCAUGGAGAGCCUGCAAAUGGGGGAAUUUUACUACCUAAUUCUUCGCUUCUGGUGCUGCAUCCAACAAGAUGAAUGAUUCUAAUGAACAAGCGGGGAAUGCUACUUCAAGUUGAUUGGUUCAUCUUCUAUUUCAUUGCAAAAUCAACAUAACUAUUUACUUGUUCCUGUGUUUGUAGGUACUCAUAUCGAUCUAAUUAAUCAGCUCCAUAUCUAGCCGGUUAGAAGAAUGAGGGUUUCUGUAUAUGUAUGAAAGGAAACCAAAGAAGCUUGCAUUUCUGAUCAAGCUUCAAUGAGUGCUAGUGUUCUUGCUUUCCAUGUUGAUGUAUGUUACCUCUGGAUGAAUCGUCUUCCUGCUGAGAGUUUCCUCUUUCAGUGUUGGAGAUGUUGUAGCAGCUUACAAUUACUAGGAGAA
RNA transcript from Triticum dicoccoides, 1459 nucleotides. RefSeq lists it as uncharacterized. Lineage: Eukaryota; Viridiplantae; Streptophyta; Magnoliopsida; Poales; Poaceae. The transcript has 5 exons. The record is from RefSeq and is a predicted model, not a curated record.